GGCCUUAUGGUCUAGUAGCAUGAUUCCUGCUUUGGGUUUAACAAUGCAGGAGGUCGUGGGUUCAAUUCCCGCUGAGGCCC
Molecule: non-coding RNA, 80 nt
Organism: Tricholoma furcatifolium
Lineage: Eukaryota; Fungi; Basidiomycota; Agaricomycetes; Agaricales; Tricholomataceae
Source: the annotation of a GenBank genome assembly